This 116-nucleotide ribosomal RNA is filed under the name Salvator merianae (Argentine black and white tegu). Lineage: Eukaryota; Metazoa; Chordata; Lepidosauria; Squamata; Teiidae. The record is from RNAcentral.
ACCUCAACAACCAGGGUAUCCCUUGCUGAUCUUGUCUGAUUUCAGAAGGAAAGCACAAUUGGGCCUGGCUAUAACUGGAAUAGGAGACCACCUUGGAAGAGCAGGUGUUAUAGGCU